RNAcentral lists this unclassified non-coding RNA (599 nucleotides) under Penicillium venetum. Its description in RNAcentral is "sequence contains 18S rRNA gene, ITS1, 5.8S rRNA gene, ITS2, 28S rRNA gene". The stretch from base 232 to 384 matches the Rfam family "5.8S ribosomal RNA". The record is from RNAcentral. Lineage: Eukaryota; Fungi; Ascomycota; Eurotiomycetes; Eurotiales; Aspergillaceae.
UGGAAGUAAAAGUCGUAACAAGGUUUCCGUAGGUGAACCUGCGGAAGGAUCAUUACCGAGUGAGGGCCCUCUGGGUCCAACCUCCCACCCGUGUUUAUUUUACCUUGUUGCUUCGGCGGGCCCGCCUUCACUGGCCGCCGGGGGGCUCACGCCCCCGGGCCCGCGCCCGCCGAAGACACCCUCGAACUCUGUCUGAAGAUUGAAGUCUGAGUGAAAAUAUAAAUUAUUUAAAACUUUCAACAACGGAUCUCUUGGUUCCGGCAUCGAUGAAGAACGCAGCGAAAUGCGAUACGUAAUGUGAAUUGCAAAUUCAGUGAAUCAUCGAGUCUUUGAACGCACAUUGCGCCCCCUGGUAUUCCGGGGGGCAUGCCUGUCCGAGCGUCAUUGCUGCCCUCAAGCCCGGCUUGUGUGUUGGGCCCCGUCCUCCGAUUCCGGGGGACGGGCCCGAAAGGCAGCGGCGGCACCGCGUCCGGUCCUCGAGCGUAUGGGGCUUUGUCACCCGCUCUGUAGGCCCGGCCGGCGCUUGCCGAUCAACCCAAAUUUUUAUCCAGGUUGACCUCGGAUCAGGUAGGGAUACCCGCUGAACUUAAGCAUAUCAA